Molecule: non-coding RNA, 1443 nt
Organism: Salmo salar (Atlantic salmon)
Lineage: Eukaryota; Metazoa; Chordata; Actinopteri; Salmoniformes; Salmonidae
Source: RefSeq, a predicted model, not a curated record
AACUGUCCAUUUACUCCACCUCUCCUCUCUCUAACCUGUUUGGGGGAUUUCACAUCUGAAAGGACUGGUGACAGCUGAGAGCCAAUAGCGUGCAAGGAUCAAAGACCAGAUUCUAGGUGAGUAUCUGAACUGUUUUGAAACCUCCUUUGUGUUGCUUUUUCUGUUGUUGACAGAGCCUUCAGAAGAAAUAUAUUCUCGUGUAGUUUUGAGUCUCAUGAAAAGGGUUGUACAGCAAGAGCAAGAAUGUAAGAGCUGCAAUGCUGGGGUGAAACGUUUUUUUCAAUGAUAGAAAGUGAAUCUAUUAAAUAAACCUUAAAAAUACAAUCUUAAAUCCAUUUGAAACUCUUUCCUGAAUAGUCUUUUUAGGAUCUUAAGUGACACAUUUGGUGAAGGCCUGUCAAACUACGUUCCCACAUUAGGCCACAUAAUGUCACUCAGGACUUUGUUAUCACUAAAGUUCUAGAGCCUAAUAACUUGCCAUACGUCCCAAACCACCACCUCGUCCCUACCAACUCGCUCGGAGGCAUGACCAAAAUAUGAGGGUGACUAUGGAAUGAGAUCAGAUUUGUUUUUAAAAUAUAUUAGCAUACCUUAUGGAUGCCCGUACCACACGGUCACCGGCAAUAAUAAUAAUACUAGGUUAACAGGUCAAUAUUCUUGUUUCCUCACUGCUCUUUAUUCUUUCGGCCACAUGAACUGAGAGACUGGCCGAUGAAAAUCUGGAGAAACACAUUCAAUAAGGUUGAUAAAUAAGACCAAAAAAAACACAAUGCUAUAACUCUUAUCAAAUUUUUUAUUUGAAAUUCUCUUGUCGAUUGCAUUACACUUAUAAAAGAAUCAACAUGAAUUUCAAACUUACAAACACCUAAGUCUAAGACUUAAACCAGGCAGAGGAGUGGAGUUUAUUUGGGAAUCAUUUUCAAAUCGCUCUCCAUUGGUCUCUAGAGAGUUGUGUUAAGGAGCCGUGAUAUUCACUGAUAACAAAACUCUUGGUCAAGACUAGGCCUCCGGGGAGGAUUGAGGUCACAGGGCCAAGACAGUUGGCCUGGCCCCAGAUUUGUUUGUGUUGUCUUUCCAACAGGACAAGACAGCACAAACAGAUCUGGUACCAGGGUAUAAGACAAUGGAAUAUGCACAGGCAUGACCAAGUCCCCAUGGUCUGAUUCCUCUCCUGUGUUUGCUCUCAUGUCCAUAUUGUGUGAUGACAUUGUGUGGGGUGGUAUCACACUGGGAAUCAAAGCUCUGAGAGAGAGAGAAGGAAGCUUAUAUCAAUGGCUGAUGAUUCUGUUUGUGGAUGUUAUUGCAAAAUGAGUUCAAAUAAUGAAAUCUUAAGUUUGAAAUGUGGAUUUUAUUUGACUCUAGUAGUCCUAAUUUAGACCACUGAGGACACUGAUUAUAACACUCAUGAAGACAAGUUGAUUAGAUUUUUGGUGGGGAAGUGGG